CCUGCGGCGGCCUAUACAUGCAAGUCGAACGGUAACAGGCCCGGCAACGGGUGCUGACGAGUGGCGCACGGGUGCGUAACACGUAUGCAACCUACCCUGUACUGGGGGAUAACCCUGAGAAAUCGGGGCUAAUAUUCCAUGGUAAUAUAGAUGGGCAUCCAUUUAUAUUUAAAGAUUCAUUGGUACGGGAUGGGCAUGCGCCCCAUUAGUUAGUUGGAGAGGUAACGGCUCCCCAAGGCGAUGAUGGGUAGGGGUUCUGAGAGGAUUACCCCCCACACUGGUACUGAGACACGGACCAGACUCCUACGGGAGGCAGCAGUAAGGAAUAUUGGGCAAUGGAGGCAACUCUGACCCAGCCAUGCCGCGUGCAGGAAGACGGCCCUAUGGGUUGUAAACUGCUUUUGUAUGGGACUAACCGUGGUUACGUGUAGCCAUCUGCAUGUACCAUACGAAUAAGCAUCGGCUAACUCCGUGCCAGCAGCCGCGGUAAUACGGAGGAUGCGAGCGUUAUCCGGAAUUAUUGGGUUUAAAGGGUGCGUAGGCUGACAAGUAAGUCAGUGGUGAAAUACCCCGGCUUAACCGGGGGGUUGCCAUUGAAACUGUUUGUCUUGAGUGUAAUCGUAGUGGGCGGAAUGAGGUGUGUAGCGGUGAAAUGCAUAGAUAUACCUCAGAACACCGAUAGCGCAGGCAGCUCACUAGCUUACAACUGACGCUGAGGCACGAAAGCGUGGGUAUCAAACAGGAUUAGAUACCCUGG
RNAcentral lists this ribosomal RNA (757 nucleotides) under uncultured bacterium. Its description in RNAcentral is "bacterial SSU rRNA". It matches the Rfam family "Bacterial small subunit ribosomal RNA", at positions 36 to 790 of the family's 1533-position model. The record is from RNAcentral.